RNAcentral lists this ribosomal RNA (3631 nucleotides) under Hyalinea balthica. Its description in RNAcentral is "small subunit ribosomal RNA". The stretch from base 1303 to 3631 matches the Rfam family "Eukaryotic small subunit ribosomal RNA". The record is from RNAcentral. Lineage: Eukaryota; Foraminifera; Rotaliida; Planulinidae.
UUAAGCCAUGCAAGUGGUUAUAUCAACCCGACAGUUUAAAUAAGUGUUAAAUUGCUACACAUUAUAAACGCAACAUUAUUCAUCUACAUACAGUGAAUACUUUUUACACAGUAUCACUUACGCAACUGCAGACAGCUGCUUAAUACAGUCACACUUGUCUUGACUUGGCUAUUAAAUAUUAUGCUAUAGCAUAAACUGAACUCACGCAGUAUAAUCGUAUGCUACAACUACACACAAAAAAAUGACAUACGCGUUCUGUGGAAGGUUAGUGACCUGCAUAGUAAAUAUUAAAAUUAAAAUUGUUUACAAGCUACGUACAGUAUCUACGCAGUUGAUACCACACAACAACUCACUGCAUUUUACGAUCUGUGCAAGCUGUUUUACAAUGAUUUCUCUGUAUCGCGUUAUACUUACAAGAACAUGCGUUACACCGUGACAAAUUUCUUUAUGGAUAACUCAGGGAAAGUUUGGCUAAUACGUACGAGUAUUUUUAAAACACACUGUAAUUGUGUAACAUAAUUAUCUCUCUACAGGCGAGUGCAUAACAGCGCUUAACGGCAGAAUGAAUUAUUAUUCAGCACUUUCUACAACAACAUACUACUCAGCACUCAAUGGUAAGCUUUGGUUUUUUACGUUCGCGUAAUUACCAGUUUAAAGUUUAACUGCAACAUGAGAGACAUUGAGCACGCACGUGGUGGGGUAAUUUAUUCGUUUCGCCACAUCUACGCUGAGCAGACUUUGCGAAGUUUACUUUGCGAAGCAUGUCAUACAAGCAUCUACAGCAUCAAGUCACAGGGUUGGCAAGUGUAUUUUUGAACCUUCAAAGCAGUCACGCAUACGGAAGAGUAGUUUCUGAUCCCAUAGAAGGAGCACCGUACAAUGAGAGACCGCUCUUAGUUCUAAGGAACGCAGCAGGCGCGUAAAUUGCCCAAUGCUAGUACCCUACAAAUUACAUAGUAUUAAUACAACAAUUUACAAUAAAACAAGUUUAUAAAACACGCACAUUAUAACACAUUAUUUCAUUCUGUCCUACAGAAUAUCAUACAUAUCCUUGUUCGUUGUAACUCACGUAAUUUAUUUUACUGAGGCAGUGACAAGCUGUAACGGUUGAGUAUAAAAAUGACGAGUGUCUGGCAUUGCCGCUCUUUCGGGAGCUUGGCAAGUUGCCGACGCUUUGUGUGCUCAAUUGGAAUGCNNNNNNNNNNNNNNNNNNNNNNNNNNNNNNNNNNNNNNNNNNNNNNNNNNNNNNNNNNNNNNNNNNNNNNNNNNNNNNNNNNNNNNNNNNNNNNNNNNCCGCGGUAAUACCAGCUCCACUGGCCUAUACAAUCAUUGUUGCGGUUAAGAGGCUCGUAGUUGGAUUGAACUACAAUACAUAGAAUAAUAAUAAAUUCUAUAAGCUAGUUUCGUACAAAAAGUAGCAAUAUAUUUGCAGUACUUACUGUUACAGACACUACAUCACACACGAAACAACACUGUGUCUUUCGUAGCUGCAAGCCUGUAAAUAGCUAUUUUUUUACGUUUCGACGCACCGUACUAAAUUAAUAUUAUUUUAUUCAUAUAGCUUACGGCAACCUUGUAAAUAAUUACACACAACCAAAUCCAUUAUUUACGCGGCAGAAUUAUACUCGAAUUUUUUAUUCUCCUUUCAACACUGUGAACAAAUCAGAGUGUAUCAAACAUGUCGUUUUUGAAUGUGCAUUGAAUGUCUUAUCAUGGGAUGUUGCCUUAAUUCAAACGCGUUAGAAAUAUUUAGCUGUACGACAGACAUCACACACAAACCUUACAAUCACUCUGCGUACUGUUAAUAUUAUCUAACACAGUGCCAGUGACACAUGAAUAAUAUUUUAUAUUUCUAACGGUUAAAAAUGUCGAUGGGGAUAGUUGGAGUCAACAGUACUGCUGGGCGAGAGGUGAAAUUCAUUGACCCUAGCAAGACUACCAAAAGCGAAAGCAGUUGGCUAGGCUAUACUCUUUGUGAUUAACUAUUCGUUUGCAGACUCUAUGCGAAGCUUUUUAAACGCUGCUAUACACACAAACAUUUUCAGCACGUACUAUAGCUAUUAACAUACGAGUCAAACUCGCGAAUACUUAUAUAACACUUUACAAUGAAGAACGAAGGUUGGGGGAUCAAAGAGGAUCAGAUACCCUCGUCGUCCCAUUAAUUACAUCAAACGAUGGGCUCUCAAUUGCAUUUUACAUUAAAUUGCAAAUUUCCUCAGCCUACAAAAUUACUCUGGCUUGAGCUCGUAUUUCGAUACGCUCGCCUAAUCAAUUUUCGUACGGUCUCUGAUGGACGUUUCGUUUAAAAAUAUUUUUUGCGUGUAAGCAUUGUAUUUUAUCUUUGAAACAUAAGAUUAUACUGCGUGCACUUGAUUUUCGGAGCUUUGCGCUCAAUUCUGGUGAGAUGUAAGCAUCAUGUCAUUGCUACCCGCAGUGUAUAUCUUCGGGUAUUUCAUCUGUCGUGCGUAGCUGACACUUUUUCGAUGUGAAGCACGCUUUAGGCACGCGCUUACUGCAGAAAUGUCUGAGACAUUCCCCUCCGGGGGUAGUAUGCACGCAAGUGUGAAACUUGAAGGAAUUGACGGAAGGGCACCACAAGAACGCGUGGAGCAUGUGGCUUAAUUUGACUCAACGCGGGAAAUCUUACCGGGUCCGGACACACUGAGGAUUGACAGGCAAUAUCAUAAUUUAUAGUUUAUUUACUUCGGUACUUAUUCUAAUAUUAUGUGUUAAAUAUGCUAGUCCUUUCAUGAUUAUGUGAUAGGUGGUGCAUGGCCGUUCUUAGUUCGUGGAGUGAUCUGUCUGCUUAAUUGCGUUUCACUAAGGGUCCAUAAAUUUAUGUAUGUUGCGACGCAUUGACCCCUCAUUUAAUUAUGAGCGCUGCGUCUUUGUCGUUUAGCUCAUGCGAUUGGAUCCUGAAAGCAACGAACGUGACCGCAACCUCUUGUUGCCUUUAUACCAAACACUUUUAUAUGCUGCGUACAGUUAAUCCUGUAUGUAUUGUACUGUAAUUGUGCAAAAAGGCUUUUUAAACUAGAGGGACCGCUGUUACUUUCUUAAACCAGAGGAAGGUUGCGGCAAUAACAGGUCUGUGAUGCCCUUAGAUGUUCCGGGCUGCACACGUGCUACAAUGAUUAUUGCAGUGAGCAUCUCAUAUUCAUACAUCGCAUGCGCGAGUCCAUUUAUUCUGUGCUUUCGGGCACUGUUUUAAAUGUGUAUCUCUGCGCGCGAUAAAGCCUACUUCGAAAGUAAGUGGGUAAUCAAUUAGAAGUAAUGAUUUCCUUAAUUUAUAGCACACAUAUAUACGGCAGCUUUACCCAGCCAGCCUUGUUGCUGGAUCUUGUGUGUAUUGCUGCUUUUUCCGUAUGUGCAAUUGUCAAUUCAUGGUGGGGGCAGACCAUUGUUAAUUGUUGGUCUCGGUCUUAACUAGGAAUGCCUUGUACGGGUCUUUGGUUCAACAAACCACCCGGAAUACGUCCCUGCCCUUUGUACACACCGCCCGUCGCUCUUACCGAUGGACUUCUCUGUGAGUUUCAGGGACUGGAGUUAUUUUCAACCCUAUGGAAACUGAAACGAACAGUGUGGUCUAAAGGAAAGAGAAGUCGUAACAAGGCAUCCAGUAGGUGAACCU